AUUGAACGCUGGCGGCAUGCCUUACACAUGCAAGUCGAACGGCAGCGCGGGGCAACCUGGCGGCGAGUGGCGAACGGGUGAGUAACAUAUCGGAACAUACCCUAGAGUGGGGGAUAACGUAGCGAAAGUUACGCUAAUACCGCAUACGCACUAAGGUGGGAAGUGGGGGAUUCGCAAGAACCUCAUGCUCAUGGAGUGGCCGAUAUCUGAUUAGCUAGUUGGUGAGGUAAAGGCUCACCAAGGCGACGAUCAGUAGCUGGUUUGAGAGAACGACCAGCCACACUGGAACUGAGACACGGUCCAGACUCCUACGGGAGGCAGCAGUGGGGAAUUUUGGACAAUGGGGGGCAACCCUGAUCCAGCAAUGCCGCGUGAGUGAAGAAGGCCUUCGGGUUGUAAAGGACUCUUUUGUCUAGGGAAGAAACGGUAGAGUUCUAAUAAAGACUUGCUAAUGACGGUACCUGAAGAAUAAGCACCGGCUAACUACGUGCCAGCAGCCGCGGUAA
This 506-nucleotide ribosomal RNA is filed under the name uncultured bacterium. Its description in RNAcentral is "bacterial SSU rRNA". It matches the Rfam family "Bacterial small subunit ribosomal RNA", at positions 30 to 523 of the family's 1533-position model. The record is from RNAcentral.